GAUGAACGCUGGCGGCGUGCCUAAUACAUGCAAGUCGAGCGAACAGACGAGGAGCUUGCUCCCCUGACGUUAGCGGCGGACGGGUGAGUAACACGUGGAUAACCUACCUAUAAGACUGGGAUAACUUCGGGAAACCGGAGCUAAUACCGGAUAAUAUAUUGAAUCGCAUGGUUCAAUAGUGAAAGACGGUUUUGCUGUCACUUAUAGAUGGAUCCGCGCCGCAUUAGCUAGUUGGUAAGGUAACGGCUUACCAAGGCAACGAUGCGUAGCCGACCUGAGAGGGUGAUCGGCCACACUGGAACUGAGACACGGUCCAGACUCCUACGGGAGGCAGCAGUAGGGAAUCUUCCGCAAUGGGCGAAAGCCUGACGGAGCAACGCCGCGUGAGUGAUGAAGGUCUUCGGAUCAUAAAACUCUGUUAUUAGGGAAGAACAAAUGUGUAAGUAACUAUGCACGUCUUGACGGUACCUAAUCAGAAAGCCACGGCUAACUACGUG
Molecule: ribosomal RNA, 497 nt
Filed under: uncultured bacterium
Lineage: Bacteria
Description: partial 16S ribosomal RNA
Rfam family: Bacterial small subunit ribosomal RNA
Source: RNAcentral